Molecule: long non-coding RNA, 2402 nt
Organism: Argiope bruennichi
Lineage: Eukaryota; Metazoa; Arthropoda; Arachnida; Araneae; Araneidae
Exons: 8
Source: RefSeq, a predicted model, not a curated record
UACUCACUACAGAUGAUCAACAUAUUGAAAUACAAGUAUAGUAGGCUUCUUAAUUAUAAUACUAAAAUUUCAAAAAACGACAUUCUCUAAUCGUUCUAUUUUUCUAGAAAGCAGGUUCCCAUAAGCUAAUAAAGUUGCAAAUCACAAUUACCUGGAAACGUCUAUCAAAACGGAUGUAACAUUUCCAGCUACUUCUCAACGUAAAUAUCUGAAAUUUAAUCUCUUGCCAUUCUGAGAUCAACUUCUGCAAAUGCAAGAAUAAAAUAAAUGAAUCGCCUGAAAAUGGAGCCAGCAUGCAAAGGCCUUCUGAAUGUCUUCACCAGGAAAAUGUUGCCUACCUUGGAUGGAACCAUUUGAAGUGCUAAAAGAGGACAAGAAAUUUUUCCAGGAAGCAAACCAUUACUACUUGAAACUAUCUAUCAAAACAGAAGCAGAAUUUACAAUUAUUUAUCAACGUAAUAAGACUUGGUUAAUGUUACUGAUAUCCUUCAGAAUAAUUGAGGUUGGAUUAGAUUUUGAUGCAUAGUAACCUUUUGUUCAAUAAAGGGUCCCCAUUUACACUAAAAGUGAGAUUGCUGUCUCCGUUACCACACUUAUUAUGAACCGACAUCUAUUGCGAUGUAUGUUGUGAAAUGCUCACUGCAGAUGACAUUGAAAUGUUGGAAAAUCAAGUAUCCUUUCGUUUCUUAUUUAUAAUAUUGAAAUCACAAAAAUGACAUUCUCUAACCAUUUUAUUUGAUUUUCCAGAAAACAUUGAACUGCAAGGAGGCAAACCAUAAUUACUCGUCAACAUCUAUUAAAACGGAUGCAUAAUUUCUAGCUAUUUCUGAAAAUAGAAAAGCAGAGGAACUGAAGCGCGUGCCAUCCCGAGAUCAUCUUUCGUGAGUAGAGGGACCGAACAAAUCAAUCGCCAGAGCAUGGAAUCAACAUGCGACAGCCUUUUGCAUGUCUCCUCGUCACAAGUAAAAUGUUGCCAGGCCAGAAACCUUUUUAAUGUGCAGAAAUAGAACAAGAAAUAUUUCCAGCGACUACUUCAGUUUCUGACAAAUUCUCUACCAGCAAUCUGGGUGAUCGAGAAAUUUAUUUUCUCGGAAUGGUAUCGUAGAGAUAACGAAAGCAAGUUUUCUGAAGCCAUGCGGAGGCAAACUACAUAUAAUUUAUGUGGAAGCUUCUAUUAAGACAGAAGCGGGCUUUCCAGCUAUUUCUCAACAGAAGAAAGUUACCUGAAUGAUUCUGAAGCGAUAUCGGCAUGUUGCAAGAAUUUCGGUUUUGAUCUAUAGUCAUGAUCUUUUGCUGACUACAGGUUUAUCACUUAUCACCAGAAGAUACUGCUUUCUUGGCUCCACACAUGCUCUGAUCUGACAUCAACUAAGCUGGAUGCUAUGAAAUACUCACUACUGAUGACAAGGCAAAUUUCCAGUAAGCUGCAAGGAGACAAACCACAAUCAUCUGUAAAUAUCCAGCAAAACAGAAGCAGCAUAUCCAGUUAUUUCUCAAUAUGGGAAUCGUCGAAUUUGAAACGCUUGCCAUUCCGAGAUCAACUUCUGCAACUAUAGUGUCUGUAGAAAUCGGUCUAUUGAGAAUGAAUCUACCAUGUGACAGCCUUCUGCAAGUCCUCCUCACCACUAAAAUGUUGCUCUGCUAUAAGCCGCUUCACGUACAGUGACAGAACGUGAAAUGUUGGGUGUCUGUUAAGAAUACGCCUUCGUCGAUGUGAUCCUGGAAUAAGACAAUACCUGGACCCUUCAUCAAGCGCAUAUUGGAGUGCGGAUGCUGCACAGUUCAAUUACGGACGAAGACUAUAUUUGAAUUUUUAUAUUAUCAAUAUGUUCAGAAGCAAAUUUCAAACGGAACUAAUUGACUCAAUGGAAGAAACGGAUAUUAUAAAAACAGCGGUAUAACAAAUUUGUAACAAAACCUAGAUUUAAUUUUCGCAAAUAAUAAUAUAAAUUGCAUUUGAGAACAUAUUUGUUAUUACUAAAUUUGAUAAGAAUUGUUUGACAUGACAGAUUGCCACUAUACAACUUUAAAAAUCUUGGAUUUUCAUUACUGUAAUCUUUCUAUUAUAUCGGCAGAAUUUCUUUCCAUUUACAAACCAAUUUUAUAAAGAAAACUGAACCACUUCGUUGUAACUGAAGCCAUUUCUUGACCUUGUUUAUUUCUAAAUCUUCAUUUUGUGAUUUUGAAUGACGAUUAUAAAAGAAUCCUUCAUAUUCGAAUAGGUGUUUCAUUCCUGUAUCUAUAACGAAAUUUGGAUUUUGAUCUCUGUAAUGCUAGUAUCAAUUAUGUAAAUGAAUUUCAUUAAAUUUCCCUUAGUUAUCAAUCUCGAAAUCUCGAUAAUCAGAGCUUCAAUCUACAAGUUUAUUAAUAUGUGGCGUUUAAUAUGUACUUGUGUUUGAUUA